UAUUUGCAUGUACAAUGUACCCACUUUUUUAGGACAUUUAGUAUUUGGGGGAAAUAUCAACUCCCAUUUCUUUUUGCUGAAAUUUAAUGUUCCCAUGGUGAGUGUACUCCUAUUUUUGCCGACAUUUAGUAUUUCCUGGUACAAUGUACUUAGACCUUCCAUGGUACAAAUACUCAAGUCUAGAGGCUAAUAACACUUAAAACAUCCCGGUCUUCUGAUUUCUAUUGGUAUGACUAAACCUUGCCAAAAUAUACAGUACACUAUCAAGAAAGGCAAAUUCAGUAACUAUAGCCACAAACUUCAGAUCAGUCACUGCAACCGAACGUAUCCCUUGCCCACUUCUUACGGUGGAGACCGAACUGAACUACUUAUUUCCAUAGAAGAGUAUACCUAUGUUCUUAAGAUGGAACAUCAAUGCCUUAUUAAUAUUCUAUUCUAGCAAUGUGUUGCGGACCCAUACAAAAACUAACAAUAUUGUAUUCUUGCAAUGUGAUUGAACAUGAAGAAGGAACUGCAAUGGCCACUAGUCAGUGGUUGAAAGCACAUCCGGCAACAAAAACAAUUGUCCUUCAAGGCCAUACAGAAUGUAUCGACCAUGUUACUUUUUCCAAAUUAUUGUACCUAAUACACCUAGUAAAUCCUAAUAGCAACUCCAAAUGAUCGUACCCAUGCCAUGGAGCCUUUGGCUAAAAUGAAUUGAAAAAAAGAAGAGAAAAUAAGACAUUCAUCGAUAUUCCUUGCUCCAUUUAGCUGCCAAGUGGCAACUGGAACUAGUACCAAAAAGGCAGAAGGAAAUUUAACAGGAAGCAUCGAGUAAAGAAACAAUAUUUUGUGUGUAAGCCAAAUGACACAAAUAUAACCAUCGGUGGAUCACACUCAACAAAUGGUUUCGUAGUGUAGUGGUUAGCACUCCAGACUUUGAAUCUGGCGACCUGGGUUCGAAUCCCGGCGAGACCUACUUUUUUAGCUGGCAUUUUAGUAUUUGCAUGUAUAAUGUACUCACUUUUUUUAGGACAUUUAGUAUUGGAGAAAAAUAUCAACUCCCAUUUUUUUGCUGAAAUUUAAUGUUUCCAUGGUGAGUGUACCUUUUUGCCGACAUUUAGUAUUUCCUGGUACAAUGUACUUAGACCUUCCAUGGUACAAAUACUCAAGUCUAGAGGCUAAUAACACUUAAAACAUCCCUGUCAUCUGAUUUCGAUUGGUAUGACUAAACCUUGCCAAAAUAUACAAUACACUAUCAAGAAAGGCAAAUUCAGUACCUAUAGCCACAAACUUCAGAUUAGUCACUGCAACCGAACGUAUCCCUUGCCCACUUCUUACGGUGGAGACCGAACUGAACUAUUUAUUUCCAUAGAAGUGUAUACCUAUGUUCUUAAGAUGGAACAUCAAUGCCUUAUUAAUAUUAUAUUCUAGCAAUGUGUUGCGGACCCAUACAAAAACUAACCAUAUUGUAUUGUAGCAAUGUGAUUGAACAUGAAGAAGGAACUGCAAUGGCCACUAGUCAGUGGUUGAAAGCACAUCCAGCAACCAAAACAAUUGUCCUUCAAGGCCAUACAGAAUGUAUCGAUCAUAUUACUUUUUCCAAAUUAUUGUACCUAAUACACCUAGUAAAUCCUAAUAGCAACUGCAAAUGAUCAUACCCAUGCCAUGGAGCCUUUGGCUAAAAUGAAUUGAAAAGAAAAUUGAAAUAAGACAUUCAUCGGAUAUUCCUUUGCUCCAUUUAGCUGCCAAGUGGCAACCGGAAGCAAACCAAAAAGAAGAAGAGAAUUAAACAGGAAGCGUCGAGUAAAGAAACAAUAUUUUGUCUGUAUAAGCCAAAUGACAAAAAUAUAACCAUCAGUGAGUCACACUCAACAAAUGGUUUCGUAGUGUAGUGG
Molecule: long non-coding RNA, 1877 nt
Filed under: Hordeum vulgare
Lineage: Eukaryota; Viridiplantae; Streptophyta; Magnoliopsida; Poales; Poaceae
Description: long non-coding RNA (HVUL_LNC007818)
Rfam family: tRNA (bases 886-957)
Source: RNAcentral